RNAcentral lists this ribosomal RNA (744 nucleotides) under Acinetobacter baumannii. RNAcentral's name for it is "partial 23S ribosomal RNA". It matches the Rfam family "Bacterial large subunit ribosomal RNA", at positions 2187 to 2925 of the family's 2925-position model. Lineage: Bacteria; Pseudomonadati; Pseudomonadota; Gammaproteobacteria; Moraxellales; Moraxellaceae. The record is from RNAcentral.
CGUCCUUGAAAUACCACCCUGGUAAUGUUGAGGUUCUAACUCUGUCCCGUGAUCCGGGACGAGGACCGUGUCUGGUGGGUAGUUUGACUGGGGCGGUCUCCUCCUAAAGAGUAACGGAGGAGUACGAAGGUGCGCUCAGCGUGGUCGGAAAUCACGCGUAGAGUAUAAAGGCAAAAGCGCGCUUAACUGCGAGACCCACAAGUCGAGCAGGUACGAAAGUAGGUCUUAGUGAUCCGGUGGUUCUGUAUGGAAGGGCCAUCGCUCAACGGAUAAAAGGUACUCUGGGGAUAACAGGCUGAUACCGCCCAAGAGUUCAUAUCGACGGCGGUGUUUGGCACCUCGAUGUCGGCUCAUCUCAUCCUGGGGCUGAAGCAGGUCCCAAGGGUAUGGCUGUUCGCCAUUUAAAGAGGUACGCGAGCUGGGUUUAGAACGUCGUGAGACAGUUCGGUCCCUAUCUACCGUGGGCGCUGGAAAUUUGAGAGGAUCUGCUCCUAGUACGAGAGGACCAGAGUGGACGAACCUCUGGUGUACCGGUUGUGACGCCAGUCGCAUCGCCGGGUAGCUAUGUUCGGAAGGGAUAACCGCUGAAAGCAUCUAAGCGGGAAGCCUACCUCAAGAUAAGAUUUCCCUAGGACUUUAUGUCCUCUAAAGAGCCGUUCGAGACUAGGACGUUGAUAGGUUGGAUGUGGAAGCAUAGUGAUAUGUGAAGCUGACCAAUACUAAUUGCUCGUGAGGCUUGACUAU